RNAcentral lists this long non-coding RNA (207 nucleotides) under Elaeis guineensis (African oil palm). Its description in RNAcentral is "long non-coding RNA (EGUI_LNC049101)". The record is from RNAcentral. Lineage: Eukaryota; Viridiplantae; Streptophyta; Magnoliopsida; Arecales; Arecaceae.
CCAUUUAAUUUUAAUUACUGAGAAGUUCUUAGAUCUUUCAACUAAUUCUCAAACUUUGUUUCUUUCAAAUUAAUUUAAUUCUUCUUAUAUUGCUAAUAUCUAAUUAUGAUCUUUUUCAGCUUCUAUUAUAUUUUUAAGUUUUAAAUGUAAUACAAAAGCAAAGUGAUUUAUAGCUUUCCAAAGUGAUGCUCUAGUUUUAACACCAAG